RNAcentral lists this transfer RNA (77 nucleotides) under Coriobacteriia bacterium. RNAcentral describes it as "tRNA-Asp". It matches the Rfam family "tRNA". Rfam says of the family: Transfer RNA (tRNA) molecules are approximately 80 nucleotides in length. Their secondary structure includes four short double-helical elements and three loops (D, anti-codon, and T loops). Lineage: Bacteria; Bacillati; Actinomycetota; Coriobacteriia. The record is from RNAcentral.
GGGGGUAUAGCUCAGCUGGUUAGAGCGCUGGCCUGUCAAGCCAGAGGUCGCGGGUUCGAACCCCGUUACUCCCGCCA